UGCGUAGGUGGCGAGGUAAGUUCGAUGUGAAAUCCCCGGGCUCAACCCGGGAACUGCAUUGAAAACUCUCUCGAUAGAGGGUCGGAGGGGAGACUGGAAUUCUUGGUGUAGCAGUGAAAUGCGUAGAUAUCAAGAGGAACACCAGUGGCGAAGGCGAGUCUCUGGACGAUACCUGACACUGAGGCACGAAAGCUAGGGGAGCAAACA
RNAcentral lists this ribosomal RNA (207 nucleotides) under uncultured bacterium. RNAcentral's name for it is "partial 16S ribosomal RNA". It matches the Rfam family "Bacterial small subunit ribosomal RNA", at positions 568 to 774 of the family's 1533-position model. The record is from RNAcentral.